Molecule: ribosomal RNA, 462 nt
Filed under: uncultured bacterium
Lineage: Bacteria
Description: bacterial SSU rRNA
Rfam family: Bacterial small subunit ribosomal RNA
Source: RNAcentral
AACGCUGGCGGCGUGCUUAACACAUGCAAGUCGAACGGUGACCCAGGGCUUGCCCUGGUGAUCAGUGGCGAACGGGUGAGUAACACGUGGGCAACCUGCCCCUGACUUCGGGAUAACUCCUCGAAAGAGGAGCUAAUACCGGAUACGACCACUUCGGACAUCCGAUGGUGGUGGAAAGUUUUUCGGUCAGGGAUGGGCCCGCGGCCUAUCAGCUAGUUGGUGGGGUAAUGGCCUACCAAGGCGACGACGGGUAGCCGGCCUGAGAGGGCGACCGGCCACACUGGGACUGAGACACGGCCCAGACUCCUACGGGAGGCAGCAGUGGGGAAUAUUGCGCAAUGGGCGAAAGCCUGACGCAGCGACGCCGCGUGAGGGAUGAAGGCCUUCGGGUUGUAAACCUCUUUCAGCAGGGACGAAGCGAAAGUGACGGUACCUGCAGAAGAAGCACCGGCUAACUACGUG